This 433-nucleotide ribosomal RNA is filed under the name Escherichia coli. RNAcentral describes it as "partial 23S ribosomal RNA". It matches the Rfam family "Bacterial large subunit ribosomal RNA", at positions 763 to 1194 of the family's 2925-position model. The record is from RNAcentral. Lineage: Bacteria; Pseudomonadati; Pseudomonadota; Gammaproteobacteria; Enterobacterales; Enterobacteriaceae.
UAACUGGAGGACCGAACCGACUAAUGUUGAAAAAUUAGCGGAUGACUUGUGGCUGGGGGUGAAAGGCCAAUCAAACCGGGAGAUAGCUGGUUCUCCCCGAAAGCUAUUUAGGUAGCGCCUCGUGAAUUCAUCUCCGGGGGUAGAGCACUGUUUCGGCAAGGGGGUCAUCCCGACUUACCAACCCGAUGCAAACUGCGAAUACCGGAGAAUGUUAUCACGGGAGACACACGGCGGGUGCUAACGUCCGUCGUGAAGAGGGAAACAACCCAGACCGCCAGCUAAGGUCCCAAAGUCAUGGUUAAGUGGGAAACGAUGUGGGAAGGCCCAGACAGCCAGGAUGUUGGCUUAGAAGCAGCCAUCAUUUAAAGAAAGCGUAAUAGCUCACUGGUCGAGUCGGCCUGCGCGGAAGAUGUAACGGGGCUAAACCAUGCAC